GAUGAACGCUGGCGGCGUGCUUAACACAUGCAAGUCGAACGGAGUGCUCAUGAUGGAGGAUUCGUCCAACGGAUUGAGUUACUUAGUGGCGGACGGGUGAGUAACGCGUGAGGAACCUGCCUCGGAGUGGGGAAUAACAGCCCGAAAGGGUUGCUAAUACCGCAUAAUGCAUUGGAUUCGCAUGUUUCUGAUGCCAAAGAUUUUAUCGCUGAAAGAUGAGCUCGCGUCUGAUUAGCUGGUUGGCGGGGUAACGGCCCACCAAGGCGACGAUCAGUAGCCGGACUGAGAGGUUGAACGGCCACAUUGGGACUGAGACACGGCCCAG
This 325-nucleotide ribosomal RNA is filed under the name uncultured bacterium. Its description in RNAcentral is "bacterial SSU rRNA". It matches the Rfam family "Bacterial small subunit ribosomal RNA", at positions 28 to 334 of the family's 1533-position model. The record is from RNAcentral.